RNAcentral lists this ribosomal RNA (301 nucleotides) under uncultured bacterium. RNAcentral describes it as "partial 16S ribosomal RNA". It matches the Rfam family "Bacterial small subunit ribosomal RNA", at positions 509 to 807 of the family's 1533-position model. The record is from RNAcentral.
CAGCCGCCGCGGUAAAACGAGGGGGGCAAGCGUUGUUCGGAAUUAUUGGGCGUAAAGGGUGCGUAGGCGGCUUGACAAGUCUUGUGUGAAAUCUAUGGGCUCAACCCAUAGUCUGCACGGGAAACUGUCGGGCUUGAGAAUGGGAGAGGUGAGUGGAAUUUCCGGUGUAGCGGUGAAAUGCGUAGAUAUCGGAAGGAACACCUGUGGCGAAAGCGGCUCACUGGACCAUUUCUGACGCUGAUGCACGAAAGCUAGGGGAGUAAACAGGAUUAGAUACCCCCGUAGUCCCUGUCUCUUAUAC